Molecule: ribosomal RNA, 440 nt
Filed under: uncultured bacterium
Lineage: Bacteria
Description: partial 16S ribosomal RNA
Rfam family: Bacterial small subunit ribosomal RNA
Source: RNAcentral
CCUACGGGUGGCAGCAGUGGGGGAUAUUGCACAAUGGGGGAAACUCUGAUGCAGCGACGUCGCGUGUGGGAAGACGGCCUUCUGGAUUGUAAACCACUGUCCCCAGGGAAGAAAAUGACGGUACCUGGGGAGGAAGCUCCGGCUAACUACGUGCCAGCAGCCGCGGUAAUAGGUAGGGAGCACGCGUUGUCCGGAAUUACUGGGUGAAAGGGGAGCGUAGGCGGGGAUGCAAGUUGGGUGUCAAAACUACCGGCUCAACCGAUAGUCGCACUCAAAACUGCAGGUCUUGAGUGAAGUAGAGGCUGGCGGAAUUCCUAGUGUAGCGGUGAAAUGCGUAGAUAUUAGGAGGAACACCAGUGGCGAAGGCGGCCUGCUGGGCUUUUACUGACGCUGAGGCUCGAAAGUGUGGGGAGCAAACAGGAUUAGAUACCCCGGUAGUC